CCUACGGGCGGCAGCAGUGAGGAAUAUUGGUCAAUGGACGAGAGUCUGAACCAGCCAAGUAGCGUGAAGGAUGACUGCCCUAUGGGUUGUAAACUUCUUUUAUAUGGGAAUAAAACGUUCCACGUGUGGGAUUUUGUAUGUACCAUAUGAAUAAGGAUCGGCUAACGCCGUGCCAGCAGCCGCGGUAAUACGGAGGAUCCGAGCGUUAUCCGGAUUUAUUGGGUUUAAAGGGAGCGUAGGUGGAUUGUUAAGUCAGUUGUGAAAGUUUGGGGCUCAACCGUAAAAUUGCAGUUGAAACUGGCAGUCUUGAGUACAGUAGAGGUGGGCGGAAUUCGUGGUGUAGCGGUGAAAUGCUGAGAUAUCACGAAGAACUCCGAUUGCGAAGGCAGUUCACUGGACUGCAACUGACACUGAGGCUCGAAAGUGUGGGUAUCAAACAGGAUUAGAUACCCCUGUAGUC
Molecule: ribosomal RNA, 460 nt
Filed under: uncultured bacterium
Lineage: Bacteria
Description: partial 16S ribosomal RNA
Rfam family: Bacterial small subunit ribosomal RNA
Source: RNAcentral